Molecule: ribosomal RNA, 253 nt
Filed under: uncultured bacterium
Lineage: Bacteria
Description: partial 16S ribosomal RNA
Rfam family: Bacterial small subunit ribosomal RNA
Source: RNAcentral
UACGAAGGGGGCUAGCGUUGCUCGGAAUCACUGGGCGUAAAGCGCACGUAGGCGGAUCUUUAAGUCAGGGGUGAAAUCCUGGAGCUCAACUCCAGAACUGCCUUUGAUACUGGGGAUCUCGAGUCCGGGAGAGGUGAGUGGAACUCCGAGUGUAGAGGUGAAAUUCGUAGAUAUUCGGAAGAACACCAGUGGCGAAGGCGGCUCACUGGCCCGGUACUGACGCUGAGGCACGAAGGCCAGGGGAGCAAACGGG